Molecule: ribosomal RNA, 1550 nt
Filed under: metagenome
Description: bacterial LSU rRNA
Rfam family: Bacterial large subunit ribosomal RNA
Source: RNAcentral
GACAUAAUGCAACUAGCACAAUCUAAUAAUCACCACCACCACCACCACUAAACCCAGCUUUAAAGGUUCGUCCCCCCAGGGUUAGUCGGGAUCUAAGGUGAGGCCGAAGGGCGUAGCCGAUGACGAGCAGGUUCAAUAUUCCUGCACCACCGACAUUUAACCCGGAAUGACACAAGUGUAGAGAACAGCGGCCCGUUGAUUGCGGCCGUUUCGCAAGAUCCAGGGAAGUGGCAACACGUCCUGGAGUGUUUGACACAUUUGUCGAGAAAAGUUCCGGUGAAUACUAAGGUGCCCGUACCGUAAACCGACACAGGUGGGUGGGUAGAAUAUACCAAGGCGCGUGAGUUAAACUUCUUGAAGGAACUCGGCAAGUUAGCCCCGUAACUUCGGAAGAAGGGGCGCCGCGCAAGCGGCCUCAGUGAAAGGAGUCAACCGACUGUUUAACAAAAACACAGCUCUCUGCUAAGUCGUUAAGACGACGUAUAGGGAGUGACACGUGACCAAUGCGGAAAGAUUAAGGCGAGGGGUCAGCGCAAGCGAAGCUCCGAACUUAAGUCCCCGUGAAUGUCGGCCGUAACUAUAACGGUCCUAAGGUAGCGAAAUUCCUUGUCGGGUAAGUUCCGACCUGCACGAAUCGUGUAACGAGUUGACUGCUGUCUCCAAGGAGUGCUCAGCGAAGUUGUAGUGGCGGUGAAGAUGCCGCCUACCCGCAGCAGGACGGAAAGACCCCGUGCACCUUUACUGUAGGCUGUUACUGUGUUUUCGUUCGGGAUACUUAGCGUAAGUGGGAGACUAUGAAGCCUGGAUUUCGGUUCAGGCCGAGUCGACAAUGAAACACCACCUUUUCUUAAUGGAAACUCUAACUCUGAGCCGUGAAACCGGACAGAGGACAAUGGCAGCUGGUCAGUUUGACUGGGGCGGUUUCCUCCCAAAAAGUAACGGAGGAGUUCUAAGGUUCCCUCAGCUCGGUUGGUAAUCAAGCGUCGAGCAUAUUGGUAGAAGGGAGCUAACUGUGUGACACACACGUCGAACAGAUACGAAAGUAGGACAAAAUGAUCCGGUGGUAGAAUGUGGAAUUGCCAUCGCUCAACGGACAAAAGGUACGCCGGGGAUAACAGGCUUAUCAGGCCCAAGAGUUCAUAUCGACGGCCUGGUUUGGCACCUCGAUGUCGGCUCAUCGCAUCCUGGGGCUGGAGAGGGUCCCAAGGGUCCGGCUGUUCGCCGGUUAAAGCGGUACGCGAGCUGGGUUCAGAACGUCGUGAGACAGUUCGGUCCUUAUCCGCUGUGGGCGCAGGAAAUUUGAGGGGUUCACUCCUUAGUACGAGAGGACCGGGAGUGACGAACCGUUGGUGUUCCGGUUGUGUCGUCAGACGCAGCGCCGGGUAGCUAUGUUCGGAAAGGAUAAGCGCUGAAAGCAUCUAAGCGCCAAGCCUAUCCCAAGAUGAGAUUUCCCCAUCAAGACCGUGGUAGACCACCACGUUGAUAGGUCGCAAGUGUACGCACGGCAACGUGUUCAGCUAAGCGAUACUAAUUAUCUGAUCGGCUACAAU